RNAcentral lists this ribosomal RNA (497 nucleotides) under uncultured bacterium. Its description in RNAcentral is "partial 16S ribosomal RNA". It matches the Rfam family "Bacterial small subunit ribosomal RNA", at positions 28 to 507 of the family's 1533-position model. The record is from RNAcentral.
GAUGAACGCUGGCGGCGUGCCUAAUACAUGCAAGUCGAGCGAACGGACGAGAAGCUUGCUUCUCUGAUGUUAGCGGCGGACGGGUGAGUAACACGUGUAUAACCUACCUAUAAGACUGGGAUAACUUCGGGAAACCGGAGCUAAUACCGGAUAAUAUUUUGAACCGCAUGGUUCAAAAGUGAAAGACGGUCUUGCUGUCACUUAUAGAUGGAUCCGCGCUGCAUUAGCUAGUUGGUAAGGUAACGGCUUACCAAGGCAACGAUGCAUAGCCGACCUGAGAGGGUGAUCGGCCACACUGGAACUGAGACACGGUCCAGACUCCUACGGGAGGCAGCAGUAGGGAAUCGUCCGCAAUGGGCGAAAGCCUGACGGAGCAACGCCGCGUGAGUGAUGAAGGUCUUCGGAUCGUAAAACUCUGUUAUUAGGGAAGAACAGAUGUGUAAGUAACUGUGCACAGCUUGACGGUACCGAAUCAGAAAGCCACGGCUAACUACGUG